CCUACGGGAGGCUGCAGUGGGGAAUAUUGCACAAUGGGGGAAACCCUGAUGCAGCGACGCCGCGUGUAUGAUGAAGGACUUCGGUUUGUAAAGCUCUUUUAGCAGGGAAGAAAAUGACGGUAUCUGACGAAUAAGCCCCGGCUAACUCCGUCCCAGCAGCCGCGGUAAUACGGAGGGGGCAAGCGUUAUCCGGAUUUACUGGGUGUAAAGGGAGCGUAGGCGGCUUUGCAAGUCUGAAGUGAAAGGCUGUAGCUCAACCACCGAACUGCUCUGGAAACUGUGCGGCUAGAGUGCAGGAGAGGUAGGUGGAAUUCCUGGUGUAGCGGUGAAAUGCGUAGAUAUUAGGAGGAACACCAAUGGCGAAGGCGGCAUACUGGACCAUGACUGACGCUGAGGCACGAAAGCGUGGGGAGCAAACAGGAUUAGAUACCCCAGUAGUC
Molecule: ribosomal RNA, 440 nt
Filed under: uncultured bacterium
Lineage: Bacteria
Description: partial 16S ribosomal RNA
Rfam family: Bacterial small subunit ribosomal RNA
Source: RNAcentral